AGGUCAGUGCAUCGGCAAUAUCGGACUCAUAAUCCGUCGGUCGCGGGUUCAAGCCCCGCCUGGGCUA
RNAcentral lists this transfer RNA (67 nucleotides) under Brachybacterium sp. Its description in RNAcentral is "tRNA-Leu". It matches the Rfam family "tRNA". Rfam says of the family: Transfer RNA (tRNA) molecules are approximately 80 nucleotides in length. The record is from RNAcentral. Lineage: Bacteria; Bacillati; Actinomycetota; Actinomycetes; Micrococcales; Dermabacteraceae.